RNAcentral lists this ribosomal RNA (301 nucleotides) under uncultured bacterium. Its description in RNAcentral is "partial 16S ribosomal RNA". It matches the Rfam family "Bacterial small subunit ribosomal RNA", at positions 509 to 807 of the family's 1533-position model. The record is from RNAcentral.
CAGCAGCCACGGUAAUACGAAGGGGGCUAGCGUUGCUCGGAAUUACUGGGCGUAAAGGGCGCGUAGGCGGACAGUUCAGUCGGGGGUGAAAGCCCGGGGCUCAACCUCGGAAUUGCCUUCGAUACUGGCUGUCUUGAGUGUGAGAGAGGUGUGUGGAACUCCGAGUGUAGAGGUGAAAUUCGUAGAUAUUCGGAAGAACACCAGUGGCGAAGGCGACACACUGGCUCACUACUGACGCUGAGGCGCGAAAGCGUGGGGGGCAAACAGGAUUAGAUACCCGCGUAGUCCCUGUCUCUUAUAC